UCUUUCUAGAAAUUCAAAAAUCAAAGUUUUUUCUUUUGUGCAGAAACAACAAUAUUAAUUAAGGACAAGAAGACCCUAAGAAUUUUUAAAACUAUAGUUGUAUAAUUAUUAAUUAUAGUUUUUUAAUUGGGGCGAUUGAUAAACAUAGAAAACUUUAUUUAAAAUAAAAGAUGAACCAGUAUUAUUGGUUUAAUGAAUAAAAAUACUCUAGGGAUAACAGCGUAAUAAUUUUUAAUAGCUCUUAUUGACAAAAUAGUUUGCGACCUCGAUGUUGGAUUAGGAUUCUUUUUUGAUGAAGAAGUCAAAAGAAGAAGUUUGUUCAACUUUUAAAUUCCUACUUG
This 341-nucleotide ribosomal RNA is filed under the name Amblyomma ovale. RNAcentral describes it as "partial large subunit ribosomal RNA". The stretch from base 63 to 341 matches the Rfam family "Bacterial large subunit ribosomal RNA", at positions 2078 to 2602 of the family's 2925-position model. Lineage: Eukaryota; Metazoa; Arthropoda; Arachnida; Ixodida; Ixodidae. The record is from RNAcentral.